Molecule: long non-coding RNA, 4708 nt
Filed under: Bemisia tabaci
Lineage: Eukaryota; Metazoa; Arthropoda; Insecta; Hemiptera; Aleyrodidae
Description: lncRNA ENSSSA3NGG003708
Source: RNAcentral
CCUGCGGGCCGAUUAUUGAAAUUGAUAGACAAAGCUAUAGACAAAGACGACAAAAGGAUUUGGAGGGAUCCUAUUGGUGGAAGCAGGUGGUGGCAAUGGACAAAGGAGGUAGGUAAUAGACUAACUAACGGCAACUCACGAGAAACCCGACAGUUAGUCUAUUAUUUUCUCCCUUUGUCGAUAGGAACCACCCAUUUCAACCAAUAGGAUCGCUCCAUACUCCCUAUGUCUUCUUUGUCUAUAGCUUUGUCCAUCAGUUUCAAUAAUCGGCCCGCUGCUCUGAUAAUUCUCUUGAUCUCAUCCUUCAUCUCUUUCGUUUCAGUUGCAAGAAGCAUUCUGGAGACAAUGAUCAAACAAGGCAAAGGACACUGGGUGCUCCUUAGUUCAGUGGCUGAAUCGAAAAUCAUCCUCAACAUCUAGGAAUCACUGCUGCACAGUUUGCUGUCCAAGGAUUCAGUGAAUCAAUCUCUUACAAUUUACCAAAGAAAAACGUCAACGUAUCUCUUGUCCACAUCUACCCGUUCAUUCUGCCACCUCUAUUUCAGAAAAUUUUGCAAAAGAGGUAACUAAGCUCUCAACUGGGCAACUGUAAUACUUGACUGCACGUAUCCUUGGAAGAUGGAAAAAAAGAAAAAGCUUUUUCUUUUUUUUAAAUAUACGAUAUAACAAUAACGGUAGAUAAUAUAUAACAGUUAUAUGGUUAAAAUACUUGAAAUUUAAUUGGAAACACCACAAGUUUUUAUUUAGAUGCAAGAGAGUCAUUGCAUUCAAAGACAUCAGCAACAACUCAUCACCUCACUUUUUUUCAGAAUUUCAAGUUAUUUUGGCACUAUCGAACCACAAGAUGCGGCACGACACAUCAUUUAUGGCAUGAGGCGUAACCGAGUGGAGUUCAGCAUUCCUCUGUACUUACAUUUCCUGAAUAAGUUACUGCGGAUUUUGCCGAAAAAGUCUGCUUUCAUGCUGCGGGAUUCAUUUGAUACUGGCGUCGAUUUUGGGUGAUUAGACUCGCCCAGUUUUCAAAAACUCAUUUGGCAAGUCUAUGUAUCUCGUCGGUAAACUUUUUUAAAUUUCUCUUACUUCGUUUUUUGCUCGCAAACCAACAUUUCCAAUAGAUCUGCUCAAUUUUUAUGAAAUUUAUAAAUUUUUAAGAAAUGUUUACACAGAAAGAUAGUUUAACCCUUGUAGGCUAUCAAUUUCUACAAUACUGUUAUCUCCUCUGUAAAGUAUGUUAAACAAAUUAUUUUUCUACUCCUGUAGGGUUUUUUUUGUAUUUAUAAUGUUGUUCUUCCUUUAUUGAUCUUUUAACUCAGGGUGAUUGUUAUUUUUUUACAGUUUAUCUUUAAAAUAUUUACGUAACAAAAGCAAGUUCCAGAUUUAUUUGUUCUGAAGAUCUGAGGAAUUAGUCAUAAAAAUACAUCUUGUCUCCGAAAGUGCCUAGUUGGUUUCUUUUAUUUUUUUUCCUAAUAACAUUUUUGUAGAACAACACAUUUUUUCAUAGGCCCUUUAGAUUUUUUCAUUCCCUGGUUAUCGAAUUCUGAUUUGGGCCCUAUCGAAGCUACACAUCAAAUUUGCACGACAUUUUGAAAAACAGAAAAAAAUUAGUGUUUUAGCAUAGUGAAUCAGUCGGAGACAGACUAAUUUUGCAUGAAUGUGUCCAAUUUUUUUGUGUUUAAAAUUCUGCACAAUAGUGCCACAGUAUGCCUUCUCUCCAGUGACUUGCCUCACAUUUUUUAAGGGAAAGAUUAACUUAACCAUACUAAAAAUGUUUAAUUGAUGGCAACUAUACCUACAAAAAAAUUCCUCAAAAUGCAUUCUUCUGUAUCCUUGAGCAGUCAACUCAUAAAACGCAAUAGGAUGAGGAAAAUUUCUUACUUGUCGAAAGGAACUUUAGUCAAAGUGAUAGCUUUAGAUCUCAUGGGACCUUUUCGUUGGAUUUGUCCCAGGGAAAAGUCACCAUUGCGAAGUUGAGGUUGGGAAAAAUAUUGAGUUUCGUCAGUAACAAUAUGAGCACCAAGUAUGGUUCUUGCACUCUUUGUAGAGAUAUCUAAGAUCAACUGAGAGGGAGAAGAUGUGAAAGCAAAUUAUGUUACAUUUUGUUGUUUAUUCGAAUUUUCACAUUUCAAUCAAGUAAUUUGUUUGAUGGUUCAUUGUGUUCAAUCAUUAUCCUAAUGCCGGUUGAGUACUCGGUUUUACCAGUUUAUCCUCCUGCGUAAAUUUGCCGCAGCCCUGAGAGCCCUGUUCUGUGAAGACGGUAACUGUGAAAAAUCCUCAAAGUUUCAUUCCUGGAAUUCGACCCCAUGGUCUAAUUCAAUGAAAACGUUCUGUGGAGACAAGACCUAGGCUUGUGUAACUUUGUUUUAGAGAAUCGUGCUGUCAAACUUUGCUCACAGGAUUUUAGUUGGCUAGUUGUUAGUCUGACCAUAUUCUUAUCAGAUUCUCUUUUAGACUUUUGCCCAAUGAGGCAGUGUAUUUUUUUUUCUAGGCACAACUUUACAAAAUGAGAACUCUAAAACUCAUCAGAAAUAUGCCAGUUUGGGGAAUUGUAAUAAAGUGCUUUGUGUGCAUUUUUCGUAGUGUCUUGUUGUAUUUGCGCAAAUUGUAAAUAGGUUUCUCUGAGGCAAUUUUUAUGAUCAUUAGAAUUUAAGUGCAAUCAAAGAAUCUGCGAUAGUUCCAAAUUGUUAUGAGUUGUUGGCCAAAGGUGAGGAAAUAGGUAACCGAUGCCGUAAUUAUUCAUGAUAACAAAAUAAGUUUCAGGCCUCAUUCACCCUUGUGAUAAUGGUGAAAAAAUAUAAAUGUAAAUCAAAUGUGGCAAACAUUUCUAACAUUUUGACAAUCAAUAUCUUUGUGUUUUUGACAUGUAAUGUUAUCAUCUCACGGACACAAUGGUGAAAGUAUCUCAUGUAAUACUGACUGUUUGUUUCAUAUUUUUAGCCUUGGUUACCUGUCUUCCAUUUUUCUGUUCGAGAUUACAGUACGUUUAUAAGCUACUUAUCAUGCAGCUAUUGUUAAAGUUUUAUAGAACUUUUAUCUUUUAAUUUGACGCAUUUAUGCCAAAAGGAACAAUGGUGCAAGCAAACCCUUUGCUAAUAGUUCCUUUUAGCAUACCUAAUUACACUCCAUUUGUCCCCUGAAAUUUCAUUGUUAUCUUAGAUUGUUUUGGCCCCCACCAUUUAUCAAUUUGUCCUCUAUUUUACAUGAAUUUCAACUUUAGUCAUCAUAAAUAAUCAAAAUUGAAUGCUAGUCUAUGUACUUAAAGUUUUGUAUGAAGAUAAUGAAAAUACUCAGGCAACUGUCAAUCAGUUUCUGAACUGUUUGCACUUUUUCAGUAUGGAUGAGGGUUUUUAUACCAUUUUAUCAAACGAAGCAUGUCCCUACGCAGAGAAGAGAACCAGAGAUUUUCCAUGUUUGUAAUUGCGUUUUAAUGGAGAAUUUGCAAGGGUCUGAAAUUUGAUGAAUUUCGUGUUUAAGAGGAAUCUACUGAGUGAACUGAGCACGAAGAUGCCCUUGAUUCAUAAAUUGAGCAAUUAUUAGGGGAGGUAUGACAAAAUAACCGAUUCUGCUAAAAUACAUGUGUUCAAAUGGGAAAUGUCGCCAGAUGACGUCACAAGGCGGCAAAUUUUCUCACUUUCAAAUCAAUUUUUCUCCAAUUUCCCAUGUCAGAAAAAAAUUAUGAAAAUUACCGUGAACUCAACUCGUUAAGCACUUUCAGAAGAAGCAAUAAAAUGUUUACGUGCAAAUUCUCCAUUUCACUUUGUAGGUAUUAUGCAAGAUGGGCCUGAAAAUAUGUGUAAGUAAUGAAAAAAAGUGUACUACAUUUUACAAUAAGGAGCUAAAAUUUCUGAUUCAUCCCUAAAAGUACCUAUCUGCUCUCUGAAAACUGAUGACAUAUACCUCAUUUUCAAAUGAAUAAGGAAUGGUCGUUCCCAAUUGCAAAAUGCAGUCCAAUUAAUGUGGUGCCUAAUGAUUUUGCCCUGUUGAGUUGCCUAAAUAAGUCGGUCAAGUCUCUCUGAAUUAAUAUUUUAAUAUUCAUGAUACAUUCAUGAUUUCUGUCGCUUUCACCAGUUUAUUGCUGUUGCUACGCAAUAAUAAUCCAACCAAAAUUUGGCCUAAUCUAACCUUCAAUAAGGACAAGCUCUGUUUCGUAGAUAGAUCUUGAAGAAAGCUUUUGACCUAGUGCAAGUGUUGUUGAUAUUAAUCACAACCCAGUCUGAAUCAGUUAAUUUCAUAUAUAUUUAUUUAUUUUAGAGAGCAAAUUUUGUUCUCAGUUAGAUUUAUCUGGCGCUGAUCUUUUCCUAGGGGUAAAUUUUAGGCAGGUCCUUAAACACAAGAGUAGUCAUCCCCAAGGUUUUUGUUGGUGGUGGUCAUGACUGUUUUGUAAAUUCAACGAUCAAAAAAGUGUAUGUAUGAAAUUAAACUUAUGGCAGUUGUGCUUAAAAUAAGUUGCAAAAAUGUUCGCAAAAAAUCAUAGUUUACCUACCUGCUGUUUUUUUGUCGAACUAUUUGUUUUUCUUUUUGUUUAAAAAAAAUUGAUGAAGCAUCUAUUUUUAGUCGGUCGUUUUUAGUAAUGUUUUGCUCAAAAAGCUUACAAAAUUAAACGCAACAUGUUCAAUUCUGCUCUUUUUUAUUAUUUUUCAAACCCUCUCCUGAAAUGUCUUGUAUUUUAAUAAAGUAUUGCAUCAUUACCUAAAAAUGAUCAAUUUUCCCU